AACGAACGCUGGCGGCAGGCCUAACACAUGCAAGUCGAGCGGACCCUUCGGGGUUAGCGGCGGACGGGUGAGUAACGCGUGGGAAUAUGCCCUUCUCUACGGCAUAGUCCUGGGAAACUGGGGGUAAUACCGUAUACGCCCUUUGGGGGAAAGAUUUAUCGGGGAAGGAUUAGCCCGCGUGGGAUUAGGUAGUUGGUAGGGUAAUGGCCUACCAAGCCGUCGAUCCAUAGCUGGGUUGAGAGGAAGGUCAGCAACACUGGGACUGAGACGCGGCCCAGACUCCUCCGGGAGGCAGGAGUGGGGAAUCUUGGAAAAUGGGGGCAACCCUGAUGUUGCCAGGCCGCGUGAGUGAUGAAGGCCUGAGGGUUGAAAAGCUCUUUCAGCUGGGAAGAUAAUGACGGUACCAGAAGAAGAAGCCCCGGCUAACUACGUG
Molecule: ribosomal RNA, 433 nt
Filed under: uncultured bacterium
Lineage: Bacteria
Description: partial 16S ribosomal RNA
Rfam family: Bacterial small subunit ribosomal RNA
Source: RNAcentral